Molecule: unclassified non-coding RNA, 22 nt
Filed under: Chlamydomonas reinhardtii
Lineage: Eukaryota; Viridiplantae; Chlorophyta; Chlorophyceae; Chlamydomonadales; Chlamydomonadaceae
Description: small RNA Cre_1462
Source: RNAcentral
CUCUUCGCCCCCACGUCGAACC